UACUAGAGUAGCACUCGCAUAUCAAUAAGCGGAGGAAAAGAAACUAACAAGGAUUCCCCUAGUAACGGCGAGUGAAGCGGGAAGAGCUCAAAUUUGAAAUCUUAAAGGGUUUCCCUUUACGAAUUGUAGUUUAAAGAAGUGUUUUCUGUUGAGGUUUUGGUAAAAGUUCUUUGGAAUAGGACAUCAUAGAGGGUGAGAAUCCCGUAUUUGACCUUUACUUUCAACUUUGUGAUACACUUUCAAAGAGUCGGAUUGUUUGGGAAUGCAGUCCAAAAUGGGUGGUAAAUUUCAUCUAAAGCUAAAUAUUGGCGAGAGACCGAUAGCGAACAAGUACCGUGAGGGAAAGAUGAAAAGAACUUUGAAAAGAGAGUUAAACAGUACGUGAAAUUGUCAAAAGGGAAGCGUUUGACACCAGUGUUGUUUUUCUGAAAAUCAAUUAAAGAACUGUUUAUGCUAAGCUGUUUAGACUUUAUCAGGCUAUCUGUUUAGUUUUGAGCUUUUCUUUAAUGCACUUUUCAGUUAACAAGUCAACAUCAAUUUCUUUUGCUGUAAAAAAGCUUGAGGAAGGUGGCUUGAGAUUCGUCUUAAGUGUUUAUAGCCUCUUGCCUAUGCAGUCGGAGAGAUUGAGGUCUGCAGCGUAGAUCCUUCGGGGCUAAAUGCAUUUGUGCUAAGUUAUAGCAUUUUAUAGACAACUUGUUGACUAUGAUUUGUCUUGUAGCUACUCGCUUAUGUUAUUUUACCUACGCUUAGGAUGUUGAGUCAUCACACAUCUCU
Molecule: ribosomal RNA, 774 nt
Filed under: uncultured Neocallimastigales
Lineage: Eukaryota; Fungi; Neocallimastigomycota; Neocallimastigomycetes; Neocallimastigales
Description: partial large subunit ribosomal RNA
Rfam family: Eukaryotic large subunit ribosomal RNA
Source: RNAcentral